AGUGAACGCUGGCGGUAGGCCUAACACAUGCAAGUCGAACGGCAGCACAGAGGAGCUUGCUCCUUGGGUGGCGAGUGGCGGACGGGUGAGGAAUACAUCGGAAUCUACUCUGUCGUGGGGGAUAACGUAGGGAAACUUACGCUAAUACCGCAUACGACCUACGGGUGAAAGCAGGGGAUCUUCGGACCUUGCGCGAUUGAAUGAGCCGAUGUCGGAUUAGCUAGUUGGCGGGGUAAAGGCCCGCCAAGGCGACGAUCCGUAGCUGGUCUGAGAGGAUGAUCCGCCACCCUGGAACUGAGACACGGUCCAGACUCCUACGGGAGGCAGCAGUGGGGAAUAUUGGACAAUGGGCGCAAGCCUGAUCCAGCCAUACCGCGUGGGUGAAGAAGGCCUUCGGGUUGUAAAGCCCUUUUGUUGGGAAAGAAAUCCAGCUGGUUAAUACCCGGUUGGGAUGACGGUACCCAAAGAAUAAGCACCGGCUAACUUCGUGCCAGCCGCCGCCGUAA
This 506-nucleotide ribosomal RNA is filed under the name uncultured bacterium. Its description in RNAcentral is "partial 16S ribosomal RNA". It matches the Rfam family "Bacterial small subunit ribosomal RNA", at positions 29 to 523 of the family's 1533-position model. The record is from RNAcentral.